GCGCUUGCUUCGACAGCACAUAUACUAAAAUUGGAACAAUACAGAGAAUAUUGGCAUGGCGCCUGUGCAUGGAUGACACACAAAUUCGUGAAGCAUUCUAUAUUUUU
RNAcentral lists this small nuclear RNA (107 nucleotides) under Catagonus wagneri (Chacoan peccary). The record is from RNAcentral. Lineage: Eukaryota; Metazoa; Chordata; Mammalia; Artiodactyla; Tayassuidae.